AGGCAGCAGUAGGGAAUCUUCCGCAAUGGACGAAAGUCUGACGGAGCAACGCCGCGUGAGUGAUGAAGGUUUUCGGAUCGUAAAACUCUGUUGUUAGGGAAGAACAAGUACCGUUCGAAUAGGGCGGCACCUUGACGGUACCUAACCAGAAAGCCACGGCUAACUACGUGCCAGCAGCCGCGGUAAUACGUAGGUGGCAAGCGUUGUCCGGAAUUAUUGGGCGUAAAGCGCGCGCAGGCGGUUUCUUAAGUCUGAUGUGAAAGCCCCCGGCUCAACCGGGGAGGGUCAUUGGAAACUGGGGAACUUGAGUGCAGAAGAGGAGAGUGGAAUUCCACGUGUAGCGGUGAAAUGCGUAGAGAUGUGGAGGAACACCAGUGGCGAAGGCGACUCUCUGGUCUGUAACUGACGCUGAGGCGCGAAAGCGUGGGGAGCGAACAGGAUUAGAUACCCUGGUAGUCCACGCCGUAAACGAUGAGUGCUAAGUGUUAGAGGGUUUCCGCCCUUUAGUGCUGCAGCAAACGCAUUAAGCACUCCGCCUGGGGAGUACGGUCGCAAGACUGAAACUCAAAGGAAUUGACGGGGGCCCGCACAAGCGGUGGAGCAUGUGGUUUAAUUCGAAGCAACGCGAAGAACCUUACCAGGUCUUGACAUCCUCUGACAACCCUAGAGAUAGGGCUUCCCCUUCGGGGGCAGAGUGACAGGUGGUGC
RNAcentral lists this ribosomal RNA (708 nucleotides) under Bacillus licheniformis. RNAcentral describes it as "bacterial SSU rRNA". It matches the Rfam family "Bacterial small subunit ribosomal RNA", at positions 346 to 1044 of the family's 1533-position model. The record is from RNAcentral. Lineage: Bacteria; Bacillati; Bacillota; Bacilli; Caryophanales; Bacillaceae.